Crepidotus variabilis is the source of this 90-nucleotide non-coding RNA. NCBI's taxonomy places the organism in Eukaryota, Fungi, Basidiomycota, Agaricomycetes, Agaricales, Crepidotaceae. The record is from the annotation of a GenBank genome assembly.
GCCCCUGUUGUCUAAUGGUUAUGACGUCAGACUUCUACGCUUACGUAAGCGGAUAUCUGGAGGUUGCGAGUUCGAGUCUCGCCAGGGGUU